This 425-nucleotide ribosomal RNA is filed under the name uncultured Stenotrophomonas sp. RNAcentral's name for it is "bacterial SSU rRNA". It matches the Rfam family "Bacterial small subunit ribosomal RNA", at positions 354 to 771 of the family's 1533-position model. The record is from RNAcentral. Lineage: Bacteria; Pseudomonadati; Pseudomonadota; Gammaproteobacteria; Lysobacterales; Lysobacteraceae.
GUGGGGAAUAUUGGACAAUGGGCGCAAGCCUGAUCCAGCCAUACCGCGUGGGUGAAGAAGGCCUUCGGGUUGUAAAGCCCUUUUGUUGGGAAAGAAAUCCAUCUGGUUAAUACCCGGGUGGGAUGACGGUACCCAAAGAAUAAGCACCGGCUAACUUCGUGCCAGCAGCCGCGGUAAUACGAAGGGUGCAAGCGUUACUCGGAAUUACUGGGCGUAAAGCGUGCGUAGGUGGUCGUUUAAGUCCGUUGUGAAAGCCCUGGGCUCAACCUGGGAACUGCAGUGGAUACUGGGCGACUAGAAUGUGGUAGAGGGUAGCGGAAUUCCUGGUGUAGCAGUGAAAUGCGUAGAGAUCAGGAGGAACAUCCAUGGCGAAGGCAGCUACCUGGACCAACAUUGACACUGAGGCACGAAAGCGUGGGGAGCAA